RNAcentral lists this ribosomal RNA (330 nucleotides) under Psychoda cinerea. RNAcentral describes it as "eukaryotic LSU rRNA". It matches the Rfam family "Eukaryotic large subunit ribosomal RNA", at positions 1592 to 1869 of the family's 3401-position model. The record is from RNAcentral. Lineage: Eukaryota; Metazoa; Arthropoda; Insecta; Diptera; Psychodidae.
GUGCGAAAGGGAAUACGGUUCCAAUUCCGUAACCUAUUGAGUAUACGUUUAUUGUGGGUACUGGGCCUUGCUUGCAAGUGUUCCGGUUUUACUCAUCCUGGCAACAGAAGCUGGCAUAGAGAAGCCGUCGAAGCGUACCGAAAGAGUUUUCUUUUCUGUUUUAUAGUCGUAUUACCAUGGAAGUCUUUCGAAGAGAGAUAUGGUAAAUGGACUAGAAGAGCAUGGCCUAUAUUGCUGUGUCGCGUACGUCUUCCUCGGACCUUGAAAAUCUAUGCCAGGGCCACGUAAACAUUCUCAAUAGACCGUACCAAUAUCCGCAGCAGGUCUCCA